Long non-coding RNA from Eubalaena glacialis (North Atlantic right whale), 476 nucleotides. RefSeq lists it as uncharacterized. NCBI's taxonomy places the organism in Eukaryota, Metazoa, Chordata, Mammalia, Artiodactyla, Balaenidae. The record is from RefSeq and is a predicted model, not a curated record. The transcript has 3 exons.
CAGCAGUAGAGGGAUCAGCAAAGACUCUGCAUAUAAAGGAGAGGAGAGCAAGGAGGACAUACUCAGGAGGGAACCCAGGACACUUAAGGCAUUAAUCUUGCUAUAGACCAGACACUCAUGCUUGCUGGCAGCUAAGACCUCACCCUCCAGCUUGGGAGGGUUCUUCAUUCCAAUGGAAGCAUCCAAACCCAGCUCUGAAGAGAAAACCACAGCCAACAGGAUCCGUUGUCAUGCAUGAUCUAACUAUGACUUACUCCCCCACUCAGGAGGGACAUCAAGUAAGGAAAGUGUCCAGGAACAAGAAAGGCCAUCUGAAAGUCUAUGGGUACACGGGUUCGAGCCCUGGUCUGGGAAGAUCCCACAUGCCGCGGAGCAGCUGGGCCCGUGAGCCACGACUACUGAGCCUGCGCGUCUGGAGCCUGUGCCCCGCAACAAGAGAGGCCGCGAUAGUGAGAGGCCCGCGCACCGCGAUGAAG